RNAcentral lists this unclassified non-coding RNA (196 nucleotides) under Glomus sp. Its description in RNAcentral is "partial contains 5.8S ribosomal RNA and internal transcribed spacer 2". The stretch from base 1 to 65 matches the Rfam family "5.8S ribosomal RNA", at positions 84 to 154 of the family's 154-position model. The record is from RNAcentral. Lineage: Eukaryota; Fungi; Glomeromycota; Glomeromycetes; Glomerales; Glomeraceae.
GUGAAUCAUCGAAUUUUUGAACGCAAAUUGCACUCUCUUCUGAUAGUAUGGCUGUUUGAGGGUGAGCCUAAAAAAAAAUCGACAUAUUCGCUGUUUGGCGGUUACAUUCCUCGGCAAUUGGGUCAUCUUAACCCUUUGGGUUUUAAGCGCCUUAAAAUUUUCUUUACUAUUCCACGAACGUUUCUAAGAUUUACUU